UACGAAGGGGGCUAGCGUUGCUCGGAAUCACUGGGCGUAAAGGGUGCGUAGGCGGGUCUUUAAGUCAGGGGUGAAAUCCUGGAGCUCAACUCCAGAACUGCCUUUGAUACUGAGGAGCUUGAGUUCGGGAGAGGUGAGUGGAACUGCGAGUGUAGAGGUGAAAUUCGUAGAUAUUCGCAAGAACACCAGUGGCGAAGGCGGCUCACUGGCCCGUUACUGACGCUGAGGCACGAAAGCGUGGGGAGCAAACAGG
RNAcentral lists this ribosomal RNA (253 nucleotides) under uncultured bacterium. RNAcentral describes it as "partial 16S ribosomal RNA". It matches the Rfam family "Bacterial small subunit ribosomal RNA", at positions 524 to 776 of the family's 1533-position model. The record is from RNAcentral.